Hemiscyllium ocellatum (epaulette shark) is the source of this 466-nucleotide long non-coding RNA. RefSeq lists it as uncharacterized. The record is from RefSeq and is a predicted model, not a curated record. Lineage: Eukaryota; Metazoa; Chordata; Chondrichthyes; Orectolobiformes; Hemiscylliidae. The transcript is spliced from 3 exons.
GCCAGGUACAGAAAGAAACAGCAAGGAAGGAGUAAAAAAAAUCAACAGUCUGCAAUUUUGCGUUACUGGGGGUUUGCAGAAGAAUGCAACCAUCCCGUUAUGGAAGAGCUACCUGUACAGAAUUACAAAGAAAGGCGAGUAGGAUACCAAGUUUCAUUACAAGAGCUUUACAAUACAAAAGUUCUUAUUUCAAAGUGCCUGAGCCAUUCAAAGGAAGAGAAAAUUCAACCCCUCGUGACAUCCACAUCGGGAUGACGCCUGGAUUAGGGCAAAGUUAUAAAUUUAGAUUAUAUUCUUGUGAGGUAUGGAACUAAUGAAUGAAUGUGAUUGGGUCGAUAGAUGUUUACUUACCAUCUUGUAGAAAUUUAUAAGAAAAAGACAUCAUCCGAGAUAGCAAGAGGCGGUUUAGAGGAGAUUCCAGAAAAGCUUUGUCCAUGAAGGAUAUCAGAAUAUGAAACAAUUGCCU